UGUCUCAUUCCGCCUACUUCUACACUUCGAACACUUAGUUUUAAGUAGGUAGUGUGGAUAACACAAAAAGUCAGUGCACUGAAAGUACCCGGAUGACCCCCUAAAAACGGUCACAAAAUGCAAUGCGUAACGAUGGACCCUACUCGCACUAAACGGACGCCAUCUUGACUACAAAGCGGAAAGGGAGGGGCUAAGGACGUCGGGAAGAUUUUUCCAUUUUGAAAAUAAUGGCGGACAUUUCAGCCGAGACAGCCGGAGAUGCGACACCGCAAUCAUAUAAAUGGACCGACGAAGAUACCAGGGAGCUAAUCCCCUGGCGUGCUGCUAACGCAGAUUUAUUUACUGGCAGGAGGAAUGUGACCCUUACUGGAUUCGAGGAAUUCAUUAAGAAAAAGGGGUUGGAGGGGAUGCUGGAUGCUAAAGCCAUCAGGAAGCGAUGGGAGAAUUUGGUGCAGAAAUACAAGGUUAGUACACAGGGUUCCUGCGGAUCCUUAAAAAGUCUUAAAA
Molecule: long non-coding RNA, 507 nt
Organism: Fundulus heteroclitus (mummichog)
Lineage: Eukaryota; Metazoa; Chordata; Actinopteri; Cyprinodontiformes; Fundulidae
Exons: 3
Source: RefSeq, a predicted model, not a curated record